This 486-nucleotide ribosomal RNA is filed under the name uncultured bacterium. RNAcentral describes it as "partial 16S ribosomal RNA". It matches the Rfam family "Bacterial small subunit ribosomal RNA", at positions 30 to 507 of the family's 1533-position model. The record is from RNAcentral.
AUUGAACGCUGGCGGCAUGCCUUACACAUGCAAGUCGAACGGCAGCACGGGUGCUUGCACCUGGUGGCGAGUGGCGAACGGGUGAGUAAUACAUCGGAACAUGUCCUGUAGUGGGGGAUAGCCCGGCGAAAGCCGGAUUAAUACCGCAUACGAUCUACGGAUGAAAGCGGGGGACCUUCGGGCCUCGCGCUAUAGGGUUGGCCGAUGGCUGAUUAGCUAGUUGGUGGGGUAAAGGCCUACCAAGGCGACGAUCAGUAGCUGGUCUGAGAGGACGACCAGCCACACUGGGACUGAGACACGGCCCAGACUCCUACGGGAGGCAGCAGUGGGGAAUUUUGGACAAUGGGCGAAAGCCUGAUCCAGCAAUGCCGCGUGUGUGAAGAAGGCCUUCGGGUUGUAAAGCACUUUUGUCCGGAAAGAAAUCCUUUGCCCUAAUACGGUCGGGGGAUGACGGUACCGGAAGAAUAAGCACCGGCUAACUACGUG